RNAcentral lists this ribosomal RNA (494 nucleotides) under uncultured bacterium. RNAcentral's name for it is "partial 16S ribosomal RNA". It matches the Rfam family "Bacterial small subunit ribosomal RNA", at positions 28 to 507 of the family's 1533-position model. The record is from RNAcentral.
GACGAACGCUGGCGGCGUGCUUAACACAUGCAAGUCGAACGGUGAAGCGCCUUCCUUUUUGGUGGGUGUGGAUGAGCGGCGAACGGGUGAGUAACACGUGAGUAACCUGCCCCCUUCUUCUGGAUAAUCGCAUGAAAGUGUGGCUAAUACGGGAUAUUCUGGGUCUGUCGCAUGAUGGGUCUGGGAAAGAUAUUGUUUCGGUGGGGGAUGGGCUCGCGGCCUAUCAGCUUGUUGGUGGGGUGAUGGCCUACCAAGGCGGUGACGGGUAGCCGGCCUGAGAGGGUGGACGGUCACACUGGGACUGAGACACGGCCCAGACUCCUACGGGAGGCAGCAGUGGGGAAUAUUGCACAAUGGGCGCAAGCCUGAUGCAGCGACGCCGCGUGAGGGAUGGAGGCCUUCGGGUUGUGAACCUCUUUCGCCAGUGAAGCAGGCCUGCCUCGUUUGUGGGUGGGUUGACGGUAGCUGGAUAAGAAGCGCCGGCUAACUACGUG